GACGAACGCUGGCGGCGUGCUUAACACAUGCAAGUCGAACGGAAAGGCCUCUUUCGGGGGGUACUCGAGUGGCGAACGGGUGAGUAACACGUGAGUAACCUGCCCUUGACUUUGGGAUAACUUCAGGAAACUGGGGCUAAUACCGGAUAGGAGCUCCUGCUGCAUGGUGGGGGUUGGAAAGUUUCGGCGGUUGGGGAUGGACUCGCGGCUUAUCAGCUUGUUGGUGGGGUAGUGGCUUACCAAGGCUUUGACGGGUAGCCGGCCUGAGAGGGUGACCGGCCACAUUGGGACUGAGAUACGGCCCAGACUCCUACGGGAGGCAGCAGUGGGGAAUAUUGGACAAUGGGUGGAAGCCUGAUGCAGCAACGCCGUGUGCGGGAUGACGGCCUUCGGGUUGUAAACCGCUUUCGCUCAUGACGAAGCUUUGUGUGACGGUAGUGGGUAAAGAAGCACCGGCUAACUACGUG
RNAcentral lists this ribosomal RNA (467 nucleotides) under uncultured bacterium. RNAcentral describes it as "partial 16S ribosomal RNA". It matches the Rfam family "Bacterial small subunit ribosomal RNA", at positions 28 to 507 of the family's 1533-position model. The record is from RNAcentral.